RNAcentral lists this ribosomal RNA (706 nucleotides) under Bacillus sp. 17889. RNAcentral describes it as "bacterial SSU rRNA". It matches the Rfam family "Bacterial small subunit ribosomal RNA", at positions 56 to 744 of the family's 1533-position model. Lineage: Bacteria; Bacillati; Bacillota; Bacilli; Caryophanales; Bacillaceae. The record is from RNAcentral.
UGCAGUCGAGCGGACCGACGGGAGCUUGCUCCCUUAGGUCAGCGGCGGACGGGUGAGUAACACGUGGGUAACCUGCCUGUAAGACUGGGAUAACUCCGGGAAACCGGGGCUAAUACCGGAUGCUUGAUUGAACCGCAUGGUUCAAUCAUAAAAGGUGGCUUUUAGCUACCACUUACAGAUGGACCCGCGGCGCAUUAGCUAGUUGGUGAGGUAACGGCUCACCAAGGCGACGAUGCGUAGCCGACCUGAGAGGGUGAUCGGCCACACUGGGACUGAGACACGGCCCAGACUCCUACGGGAGGCAGCAGUAGGGAAUCUUCCGCAAUGGACGAAAGUCUGACGGAGCAACGCCGCGUGAGUGAUGAAGGUUUUCGGAUCGUAAAACUCUGUUGUUAGGGAAGAACAAGUACCGUUCGAAUAGGGCGGCACCUUGACGGUACCUAACCAGAAAGCCACGGCUAACUACGUGCCAGCAGCCGCGGUAAUACGUAGGUGGCAAGCGUUGUCCGGAAUUAUUGGGCGUAAAGCGCGCGCAGGCGGUUUCUUAAGUCUGAUGUGAAAGCCCCCGGCUCAACCGGGGAGGGUCAUUGGAAACUGGGGAACUUGAGUGCAGAAGAGGAGAGUGGAAUUCCACGUGUAGCGGUGAAAUGCGUAGAGAUGUGGAGGAACACCAGUGGCGAAGGCGACUCUCUGGUCUGUAACUGAC